Gadus morhua (Atlantic cod) is the source of this 2639-nucleotide long non-coding RNA. RefSeq lists it as uncharacterized. NCBI's taxonomy places the organism in Eukaryota, Metazoa, Chordata, Actinopteri, Gadiformes, Gadidae. The transcript has 2 exons. The record is from RefSeq and is a predicted model, not a curated record.
CACCCAUCACUGCGCAACACACACAUAAAAACACACACACACACGCGCGCGCGCCCUACACAAACGUAUCCUUUCACUUAAAGAUUUAAAAAAGGCUAAUGUCAGACCUCGCUCGAGCCAAACAGUCCCUCUGUGCUCCACAAGGCCCACGUUGCAGCACUAGCAGCAAUCACAGUAGAAACUCUAGUGAUAGUGAAAGUCUCAGCAGCAGUAGAAGCAGUAGAAACCGCAGCCAUAGUGAUAGUGGAAAUGGCAGCAAAAAUAAAAGCAGUAGAAACGGCAGUGUCAGCAGUAGCAGCAGCAGCAGUAGGAACAGCAGUGAUAGUGGUAGUGGCAGUAGCAGCAGCAGCAGUAGGAACAGCAGUGAUAGUGGUAGUGGCAGCAGCAGUUAUUGGGUAAUACACUAAGCAGGCAGGCAGCCAACAAGGUCUAAACAACAGCCUCACCCAUAGCCCCCCCCGAACGGCCUCCCUCCCCUCAACACUAGAGAGAACAGUUACAGAGGUGCUCUCCGUGAAGCGUGGAGGCGGACAAAGAGAGGAUGAUUGCCCUGGACGAGCUGGGGGCUUCAGCGUAUUGUUUUGGAGGCCGGGUGAAUCGGGCCCUACGUGUGCGCCCCUGCAGUCUGCUGCAGACCUGCCUCAACCUGCCUACCUCAAGGGUUGACUCUGUGUGGCAUCGCCCCUAUUAUACACACACAGAAGGGAUACGCGCACACGCACACACAAAGAGAGAUUUGCACCGUUCAGUAACUAGCAAUAACAACGUAUACAGGCGCAAACAUAUAUGAGACUCAAACGAACACACAAGACUUCUCUUUCGUUCUGUCUCUCCAUCACACUCUCCCACACACUCACAAACACACAUUCUCAUACAAACACACACACAUUAUAUACACACACACACACACACACACACACACACAGACACGCACACAUACACUGUCAUACACACAGAGAGACACACAACAAACUCUUAUCAGGGGAGGAAGGCUGCAUCUUCGCUUACUCACACAUACUGACUUCCGUUGUGAAAUGUAAGUUCUCAGGCAUUCUAGGGGGACUGCCACACAGCCUUUGUCUCCAGAGAGAGCAGGGAGAGCAGCACAGAGGGAGAGUAAGAGAGAGAGAGAGAGAGAGAGAGAGAGAGAGACUUAUGCCUGUCUCUAGAUCUCUCUGGAUAGGGGCAGAGAGAUGGCUGGCACUGAAACUGUCCCCUCUAAGGGCUCACAAGGCAUCUCCCAGGAACAACGAUUUAAAUACAUCGUUUUGAAAGCGAACUGCAAACACGCUACAUUUGCAUUUGUUUGUGCAUUCAAUGACUUCAAGGAGUCAUGCAUGCAGCAAGCUCAAAUCAAUGUGUAGAAAGGCAGGGAUGGGGUAACUCAAAAGGGAAGCAACCCAAAAUAGGUGGGGGACGGUAUGGUGGUGGGCGUUUCUCGCUGUUGUUGUGUUCUGUGUGUGUGUGUGUAUGUGUGUGUGUGUGUGUGUGUGUGUCCGUGUGUGUGUGUGUGUGUGUGUGUGUGUGUGUGUGUGUGUGUGUGUGUGUGUGUGUGUGUGUGUACAUUUGUGUGUGUGUGUGUGUGUGGGGGGGGGCUGCUGAUCCAAGUGCGGAGCGCAGGAAGAGGUAGACAGGUGCACAGCCACUUUUCUCAACAGAUGUUGAAACCUGUCUCCGAGGUUCCGUUGGAAAGAGAAGCGGAAGUGAGGGGCCCCUGCUGCAACACGUCCUCAACUGUCAUCCCACGUCACGCCCUGGAGUGGGGGGGGGGGGGGGGGGGGGGUAGCUAAGCCGUCACAACCCCAGUUACAGCUUUCGAGAAAGAACCUAAUGAGUGAAAAGGUAUCAGAUGUUGUUCUAAAAUAAGUGUUGUGGCGCCUAACGCGGGGACCUCCCAUCACGCUUUACCCCGAGAGACGCAGAACGAAAGAACGCUUGUUUCCUGGUAGCGGCCGCACAAGUCUGCCUGCUCACACAAUACCAUUAUUUGGUUUCCUCUUCCUUGUUCCUUGACGCCUUGGCGCGUCAUAGCGCUGUCGCUUCCAUUGGACACGCAUGUUUGUGCUCCACGUUGUUCACAAAACAAACUGGUAGUGAGGGACGUUGUUUGUCCGAAAGAGAAAAAUUAUUUGUACUUUCAGCUGACGUCAGCAGUAAAGAACAUCCAUCCUUGAUAGCGUUGACAAUAACAUUUGCCAAAGUGUGUGACACGUUCUCCGGAUUUUUCCCGGUGGCACUCACAGGUCUCAGUGAACCCGUGGUGGCAGUCCAGUACGGAGCAGUACGCUGCAAAUCAAUUCUAUUUUGUUAUCAGGGGCCUAUCGACUCCAUUUAUACGUCAAACACAAAUAUUUACACUUCAAAUAUAUUCAGUGCAGACUUGGGCCCGAGCCAAAGCACGUAUUGCCCUUUGCUACGUAGAUAGAGUUUCACUUUGCCCCUGAAAAGAGCAGCCGGGCCCUUUUGCUAAAGAGAGCGUGUGUUUAAUUUUAAUAUGUCUGCCCCAUCGGAUGGGAACAUAUGCUUCUCUCUUUGACUGCACAGACAGAUUGAGCGUGAGGGAGAGGGGAGAGAGAGAGAGAGAGAGAGAGAGAGAGAGAGAGAGAGAGAGAGAGAGAGAGAGAGAGAGAGAGAAAGAA